This 271-nucleotide ribosomal RNA is filed under the name uncultured bacterium. RNAcentral's name for it is "partial 16S ribosomal RNA". It matches the Rfam family "Bacterial small subunit ribosomal RNA", at positions 524 to 795 of the family's 1533-position model. The record is from RNAcentral.
GACAGAGGAUGCAAGCGUUAUCCGGAAUGAUUGGGCGUAAAGCGUCUGUAGGUGGCUUUUAAGUCCGCCGUCAAAUCCCAGGCUCAACCCUGGACAGGCGGUGGAAACUACCAAGCUGGAGUGACGGUAGGGGCAGAGGGAAUUUCCGGUGGAGCGGUGAAAUGACGUAGAGAUCGGAAAGAACACCACGGCGAAAGCACUCUGACUGGGCCGACACUGACACUGAGAGACGAAAGCUAGGGGAGCGAAUGGGAUUAGAACUACCGUAGUC